GGAGAGGUGGCCGAGUGGUCGAAGGCGCACGCCUGGAAAGUGUGUAUACGGCAACGUAUCGAGGGUUCGAAUCCCUCCCUCUCCGCCA
RNAcentral lists this transfer RNA (88 nucleotides) under bacterium. RNAcentral describes it as "tRNA-Ser". It matches the Rfam family "tRNA". From Rfam's summary of the family: Transfer RNA (tRNA) molecules are approximately 80 nucleotides in length. Their secondary structure includes four short double-helical elements and three loops (D, anti-codon, and T loops). Further hydrogen bonds mediate the characteristic L-shaped molecular structure. tRNAs have two regions of fundamental functional importance: the anti-codon, which is responsible for specific mRNA codon recognition, and the 3' end, to which the tRNAs corresponding amino acid is attached (by aminoacyl-tRNA synthetases). tRNAs cope with the degeneracy of the genetic code in two manners: having more than one tRNA (with a specific anti-codon) for a particular amino acid; and 'wobble' base-pairing, i.e. permitting non-standard base-pairing at the 3rd anti-codon position. RNAcentral also lists the same sequence under 11 other names. The record is from RNAcentral.